AUUGAACGCUGGCGGCAGGCCUAACACAUGCAAGUCGAGCGGUAGAGCGAAGCUUGCUUCUCUUGAGAGCGGCGGACGGGUGAGUAAUGCCUAGGAAUCUGCCUGGUAGUGGGGGAUAACGUUCGGAAACGGACGCUAAUACCGCAUACGUCCUACGGGAGAAAGCAGGGGACCUUCGGGCCUUGCGCUAUCAGAUGAGCCUAGGUCGGAUUAGCUAGUUGGUGGGGUAAUGGCUCACCAAGGCGACGAUCCGUAACUGGUCUGAGAGGAUGAUCAGUCACACUGGAACUGAGACACGGUCCAGACUCCUACGGGAGGCAGCAGUGGGGAAUAUUGGACAAUGGGCGAAAGCCUGAUCCAGCCAUGCCGCGUGUGUGAAGAAGGUCUUCGGAUUGUAAAGCACUUUAAGUUGGGAGGAAGGGCAGUAAAUUAAUACGUUGCUGUUUUGACGUUACCGACAGAAUAAGCACCGGCUAACUCUGUG
This 484-nucleotide ribosomal RNA is filed under the name uncultured bacterium. RNAcentral's name for it is "partial 16S ribosomal RNA". It matches the Rfam family "Bacterial small subunit ribosomal RNA", at positions 30 to 507 of the family's 1533-position model. The record is from RNAcentral.